UACGUAGGGGGCAAGCGUUGUCCGGAAUUAUUGGGCGUAAAGAGCUCGUAGGCGGUCCGUUAGGUCGGAAGUGAAAUCUCAAGGCUCAACCUUGAAAUCGCUUUCGAUACUGGCGGACUUGAGGCAGGUAGGGGAAGGUGGAAUUCCUGGUGUAGCGGUGAAAUGCGCAGAUAUCAGGAGGAACACCGGUGGCGAAGGCGGCCUUCUGGGCCUGUUCUGACGCUGAGGAGCGAAAGCGUGGGGAGCAAACAGG
Molecule: ribosomal RNA, 253 nt
Filed under: uncultured bacterium
Lineage: Bacteria
Description: partial 16S ribosomal RNA
Rfam family: Bacterial small subunit ribosomal RNA
Source: RNAcentral